UACGUAGGGUGCGAGCGUUGUCCGGAAUUACUGGGCGUAAAGGGCGCGUAGGCGGCCCUCUAAGUCAGACGUGAAAUCCCUCGGCUCAACCGGGGAACUGCGUCUGAUACUGGAGGGCUUGAAUCCGGGAGAGGGAUGUGGAAUUCCAGGUGUAGCGGUGAAAUGCGUAGAUAUCUGGAGGAACACCGGUGGCGAAGGCGGCAUCCUGGACCGGUAUUGACGCUGAGGCGCGAAAGCUAGGGGAGCAAACGGG
Molecule: ribosomal RNA, 253 nt
Filed under: uncultured bacterium
Lineage: Bacteria
Description: partial 16S ribosomal RNA
Rfam family: Bacterial small subunit ribosomal RNA
Source: RNAcentral